AAUUAAAAAAAUAAAUAAAAAAUAAUUCACCAGUGAAGUCAUCUGGUCCUGGGCUUUUCUUUGUUGGGAAGUUUUCGAUUGUUGCAGUUUCACUUGCUGCAGGACUAUUUAAUUCUGUUUCUUUAUGAAUCAGUUUUGGUAGUGUGUUUCUAGGAAUUCAUCUAUAUUAUCCCAUUUUUUGGCAAACAGUUGCUCACAGUAGUGUGUGAUAAUCCUUACUUCUGUAAAGUCGGUAGUCAUGUCCUAUCCUUAACUUUUUUUUUUUUUUUUUUUGAGACGAAGUCUCGCUCUGUUGCCAGGCGGGAGUGCAGUGCUGCAGUCUCGGCU
RNAcentral lists this long non-coding RNA (327 nucleotides) under Homo sapiens (human). RNAcentral describes it as "HSALNT0068123". Lineage: Eukaryota; Metazoa; Chordata; Mammalia; Primates; Hominidae. The record is from RNAcentral.